UCAUGCACCACAGACGUAGGCUAGUCUACGAAGCUACCACGGAGCAAGGCAGAAGGCAACAAGAAGAAUGGCUAACGUUAUGGAUGAGACAGAGGGAGUUAGCGAUGUCGACAUGACUGAGAAUAGAGACAUUCCUGAUCACCCAUGGUCAUAUAUGAGGGAGAUGUUCGAAAUUGUCGGCGUCAAAAAGAAUUCCUGGCGAAUGCGCUGCGAAUAUUGUUAACCUAAAAAGCACGAAGUGCUGGCUUUCAAGAAUUCGGCGUCGAAUUUGAGAAAGCACAUACAGAUAAAGCAUGCCACACACUUGGAGAGAUAUACCCAGCUCACUUCAACUGCUCUGAAAAGAAGAACAUCAGAUGAAGUCCCCUCAUCAAAGCAAAUUAAGUUGUGGUAAACCAAGAGGGUCUCACCGCACAGUGUGGAUGAAGCUAACUGAAGUUAACUUUGUCAUUCAGGGUCUACACCCGCUAAGUGUUGUUGAACAGGAGGGUUUUAAAACCCUUGUGCAUCUCCUUCAACCAAGUGUUGUGGUAAUGUCUCGUGGCACUGUAAAAAAUAAAGUUGAAAAGGCAACACAGAAAAUGAAGAACAACCUGAAAGCUGCCAUGAGUGAAAUUGAGUUCAUUGCGACCACCACUGACUGCUGGACAGCACAUCGAUGGAGCUUCAUAGGUGUCACGGCACACUGGAUAGAUCCUGAAACUCUACAGAGAUGUUAUGCUGCCCUAACAUGUAAACAACUAAAAGUUUUCACACAUUCUUUUUCGCAGGUGUCUUGAAUGAAAUUCACACAGAGUUCAACAUCCGUGAGAAGAUUGUUUGCACAACAACUAAUAAUGGCUCCAAUUUUCUAAAAGCAUUUAGUCUAUGAUCAGCUUGAUGGAAACAAUAAUCCAGAAACUGUGGAAGGGGCCAAGCCAAGUCAGAUGGAAGAAAGAGAGAGCGAUGAUGAUGAUGAUGAUGAUGAAGAAGAGGGGGAAAACAGUGAGGGUGUUGAGUUUGUUGAAGCUGGAACCAUGUUGGACCAAGAUGAUGGCCUGGAAUAUCAAUUGCCUAAACACAAUUGCUGUGCCUGCCACCUUCUCAACCUGGUGUCUACAGUUGAUGUCUUGGAAGCCAAUUCCAAUUCAGUUUACAAGCGGCUCUCCCGCUCAGCAUUUUCAAAGUGCUCAAGUCUGUGGAACAAAAGCUCAAGAUCCACCACAGCUGCUGAGAUAAUCGAAGAAAACUGCAAACUCCAGCUCUUGAGGCCAAAUGAUACUAGGUAGAAUUUUCUUUUCCUAUCUGUGGAGAGGAUCAUGAGAACUUUGAGGGAACAAGGAGAAAGAGCCAUUACAGCUGUCUGCAGUGCGUUAAAAAUUCCCAUAUUCACUCCUGCUGAGCUUGCAUUUCUGGAAGAAUAUGCAAAGACAAUGAGCCCAUAUGCAAAAGCACUUGAUUUUCUUCAGGGAGAGACCACUGUGCAAAUGGGAUGGUUGGUACCUACAGUAACACUUCUAAAGAGAAAGCUUCAGCACAUUUGCAUUUCCUCCAGGUUCUGUGGGGCCUUUGGUGGAUGCUCUUCUAGCAGGAAUUGAAAAACGUUUUGGACAGGUACUCGUUGAUCCAGAGCUAAUCGCUGCUGCAAUUCAACUCCCCAAAUUCAAGACAUGCUGGACAAGUGACGAAUGUGUCCUAAAACUUGGUCUUAACUAUAUCAAAAGCCACCUGAAACAACAAAUGGAAGUGUAUAAAGGUGAGGCCUCCCAUUCCUCAGAAGAUGAAGACUUUUUUUCAGCAAUCAAAAAGUCCCGUUCACAAGAUGACACCAGUCAGAUGGAGACCUACCUCAACUGCCCCGCUGACACAAUGGAGGUACUAAAGUCCUUCUCUGCAGUAUGCCACUUGUCAUUAAGGCUUAACACUCCGCUACCAGCCUCAGCUGCCUGUGAGCAACUUUUCAGCACCGCAGGACUGAUUUUUACGCCAAAUAGGGCAUGUGUGUAUUCCAAGAACUUUGAAAAUCAGCUGUUUCUCAGGCUAAACAAAGACUUCUGGUAAUAAGGUUGUGUAUGACAGUUAAUGCCCAGUUUUUGAAGCGAUUCGCACACAGAAAUGAACACACAUAUACCUAUACACACGCACACACACAAACACACACACUCACUCACUCACUGGCUCACACCCACAAUAACUUGAGGCUAAAAAGAAGGCUCUCGUAGUUAUAGUGCAUCCGGAAAGUAUUCACAGCGCUUCACUUUUUCCACAUUUUGUUAUG
Long non-coding RNA from Myxocyprinus asiaticus (Chinese sucker), 2257 nucleotides. RefSeq lists it as uncharacterized. Lineage: Eukaryota; Metazoa; Chordata; Actinopteri; Cypriniformes; Catostomidae. The transcript has 4 exons. The record is from RefSeq and is a predicted model, not a curated record.